CAGCCGCCGCGGUAAUACGUAGGGUGCGAGCGUUAAUCGGAUUUACUGGGCGUAAAGCGUGCGCAGGCGGCCCGUUAAGACAGGUGUGAAAUCCCUGGGCUCAACCUAGGAAUUGCGCUUGUGACUGGCGGGCUCGAGUACGGUAGAGGGGGGUGGAAUUCCUGGUGUAGCAGUGAAAUGCGUAGAGAUCAGGAGGAACACCGAUGGCGAAGGCAGCCCCCUGGGCCUGUACUGACGCUCAUGCACGAAAGCGUGGGGAGCAAACAGGAUUAGAUACCCUGGUAGUCCACGCCCUAAACGAUGGGUACUAGCCGUUUGGUGCGCGAUAGCGCUGAGUGGCGAAGCUAACGCGUGAAGUACCCCGCCUGGGGAGUACGGCCGCAAGGUUGAAACUUAAAGAAUUGGCGG
Molecule: ribosomal RNA, 408 nt
Filed under: uncultured microorganism
Description: bacterial SSU rRNA
Rfam family: Bacterial small subunit ribosomal RNA
Source: RNAcentral